RNAcentral lists this ribosomal RNA (208 nucleotides) under uncultured soil bacterium. Its description in RNAcentral is "partial 16S ribosomal RNA". It matches the Rfam family "Bacterial small subunit ribosomal RNA", at positions 26 to 236 of the family's 1533-position model. The record is from RNAcentral.
AGAUUGAACGCUGGCGGCAGGCCUAACACAUGCAAGUCGAGCGGUAGAGAGGUGCUUGCACCUCUUGAGAGCGGCGGACGGGUGAGUAAUGCCUAGGAAUCUGCCUAGUGGUGGGGGAUAACGUUCGGAAACGGACGCUAAUACCGCAUACGUCCUACGGGAGAAAGCGGGGGACCUUCGGGCCUCGCGCCAUUAGAUGAGCCUAGGU